GUAAGUAUAUAUUUUUUUAAACCUCUUUUAGCCGAAUGUGUCUACGAAUAGAUAAUCUAUGAGCAGAAUCCCUGUUUACCUCAAUGAAUAACAAUUCUGUAAUUUGAAGGCAACAAUUUUCACUAAACUUUGUUUUUUAAAGUGCUAUCAUCAUAGAGUACUACAAACUCAACUUCCUUAUGCUAGCCACCUACAGUAGCAAUUCCAUUUCAGCUAAUAAGCUUCAGCCCCUCACCAUCAGAGUAACAACUAGCAAGAUGCAUAGUGAAAGAAAGCUGGCCCAGGACUGCCCUGCGAUAUCCAAUAAGGUCACAGGGAGAGCAAUGACGUAGCACACAUUUCUGCACAUAGUGACCUAGUACAGCCUUUGUAAGGACCCAUUUCAUUUCUAAAACGUUAAUCUCAGAACUACUGGCUGAAAUAAUACAAAUCUUUGAGAAUGUGUCUGUAUUGGGGGGCUUUCACACCAAAUGUUUUGCAGUAGUUGUUCAAUACACAAUGCACAUAGAAUACACAUAAAUCUGAUUUCAUUCAUACUGUGGUGUGGUUCGCUUCGGGUGAGAACACAAUCCACAACAGACAGAGGAAAACAAUCACAUGCUGGCAGCAUUAAAAUGCUGUGUCAGUUCACACUAUUCAAUACCAAAAUAGAAUUGUUUCUGCGGCCAAGGUAUGAACAUGAGAACAAAAAAUACUAUAAACCCCCCACCCUCAAAUGUGCAUCUUAAAGAGACUGUUUAAGAAUGACAUAUGGUGUAAUGCAAUAACUUGAGGGGAAUUAUCAAGCCAACCAGAAUAAGCUGGCUUAAAUAUAUGUAAUGAACUCCGGAUCUGUUCACCAUUCUGUGGUCAGGGUAAGCCCACCCCAAUUUAGCUCAGAUAAGCUGUUUUGUUAAUGAUAUGGCCAUAUGCAGCACUAAUAACUCUGAGAUUAGGAAGAUGCAAGAAUUCACUCUCAAUAAGUCAAACACAAUAUCUGCACAUUAGUUCAUGUUGUUACCAAAUGGUAUUCAGUAGAAUAAAAGUGCUAAGAAAUAGAUAAUUACUUAAUAAAUAGCCAUUGAAAUGCAUUAGAACUUAUGCAAAUAUGGUUAUUUGCUUAUGCAAAUAUGGUGUGUUUAUAGUGUUAUAGUGUAUAUUAUUUAAGCAACAUGAAAACAGACUGCACAUUUCUGGUGUUGGUAGAUUUUCUGGUAGUUGUCGCAGUGGAAGUGCAAGAAUAAUUAUUAAGUUUCUAAAGUUUUGCUCGGCUUUUGAAAGUAUUGGAUUUUGAGUUUAUUAAGUAAUUGAAAAUCCUGAAGUUUAAACAACUACUAAAAUCACAACUAGGAGUUUUCUUUGCACACAUUCCACAAAUAGAAAGACAAUGAAAGUUUAUGUCAAAGUAUAAUAAUGGCUAGUAUGCUAAUCCGUACAUAGUCAUGAGGAUGUGUUUAACAUCUCCAGCAAUCUUGUUCUAAACCAUAGGUCUACAGUUCAGUCUUAUUCUCUCCACCCUCCUGGGCAAACAGGGAACAGAGCUGCGGGCGUCUGCGUAGCGGCUAAAGUGUAGCAAGGCAUCCUCCUCCUCAGCCAUCCCCUCGGAGAUCUCCUCAGCCACAGUCUCCCUCUCCUCUUCAGUAACUCCAUCUCCCUGC
Long non-coding RNA from Esox lucius (northern pike), 1637 nucleotides. NCBI's taxonomy places the organism in Eukaryota, Metazoa, Chordata, Actinopteri, Esociformes, Esocidae. The record is from Ensembl.